AGUGAACGCUGGCGGUAGGCCUAACACAUGCAAGUCGAACGGCAGCACAGGAGAGCUUGCUCUCUGGGUGGCGAGUGGCGGACGGGUGAGGAAUACAUCGGAAUCUACUCUGUCGUGGGGGAUAACGUAGGGAAACUUACGCUAAUACCGCAUAUGACCUACGGGUGAAAGCAGGGGACCUUCGGGCCUUGCGCGAUUGAAUGAGCCGAUGUCGGAUUAGCUAGUUGGCGGGGUAAAGGCCCACCAAGGCGACGAUCCGUAGCUGGUCUGAGAGGAUGGUGAGCCACACUGGAAAUGAGGCACGGUCCAGACGCCGAAGGUAGGCAGCAGUGGGGAAUAUUGGACAAGGGGGGCAAGCCUGGUUCAGCCAUACCGCGUGGGUGAAGAAGGCCUUCUGGUUGUAAAGCCCUUUUGUUGGGAAAGAAAUCCAGCUGGCUAAUACCCGGUUGGGAUGACGGUACCCAAAGAAUAAGCACCGGCUAACUUCGUGCCAGCAGCCGCCGUAA
Molecule: ribosomal RNA, 506 nt
Filed under: uncultured bacterium
Lineage: Bacteria
Description: partial 16S ribosomal RNA
Rfam family: Bacterial small subunit ribosomal RNA
Source: RNAcentral